RNAcentral lists this unclassified non-coding RNA (302 nucleotides) under uncultured fungus. Its description in RNAcentral is "partial contains small subunit ribosomal RNA, internal transcribed spacer 1, and 5.8S ribosomal RNA". The stretch from base 1 to 73 matches the Rfam family "Eukaryotic small subunit ribosomal RNA", at positions 1759 to 1831 of the family's 1831-position model. The record is from RNAcentral. Lineage: Eukaryota; Fungi.
GCAAACUUGGUCAUUUAGAGGAAGUAAAAGUCGUAACAAGGUUUCCGUAGGUGAACCUGCGGAAGGAUCAUUCAAAAUAAAAGUGAAAUAAAUUAUGGCACUUUUAAAACAAUCCAUAUCCACCUUGUGUGCAAUGUUUUAUGAGAAGUUUUUCCUUAAAGAAAACUUCUUUUAUAACUAUAACAACUCUAUUAUCUUUAACAAGAAAUCGUCUGAAAUAUUUUAUUAUUGAAUAACUUAAUUCAAAAAAUAUAACUUUCAACAACGGAUCUCUUGGCUCUCGCAUCGAUGAAGAACGCAGC